This 209-nucleotide ribosomal RNA is filed under the name Aeromonas caviae. RNAcentral describes it as "partial 16S ribosomal RNA". It matches the Rfam family "Bacterial small subunit ribosomal RNA", at positions 1325 to 1533 of the family's 1533-position model. Lineage: Bacteria; Pseudomonadati; Pseudomonadota; Gammaproteobacteria; Aeromonadales; Aeromonadaceae. The record is from RNAcentral.
GUCGGAAUCGCUAGUAAUCGCAAAUCAGAAUGUUGCGGUGAAUACGUUCCCGGGCCUUGUACACACCGCCCGUCACACCAUGGGAGUGGGUUGCACCAGAAGUAGAUAGCUUAACCUUCGGGAGGGCGUUUACCACGGUGUGAUUCAUGACUGGGGUGAAGUCGUAACAAGGUAACCCUAGGGGAACCUGGGGUUGGAUCACCUCCUUA